This 497-nucleotide ribosomal RNA is filed under the name uncultured bacterium. RNAcentral's name for it is "partial 16S ribosomal RNA". It matches the Rfam family "Bacterial small subunit ribosomal RNA", at positions 28 to 507 of the family's 1533-position model. The record is from RNAcentral.
GAUGAACGCUGGCGGCGUGCCUAAUACAUGCAAGUCGAGCGAACGGACGAGAAGCUUGUUUCUCUGAUGUUAGCGGCGGACGGGUGAGUAACACGUGGAUCACCUUCCUAUAAUACUGGGAUAACUUCGUGAAACCGGAGCUAAUCCCGGAUAAUAUUUUGAACCGCAUGGUUCAAGAGUGAAAGACGGCCUUGCUGUUACUUAUAGAUGGAUCCGUGCUGCAUUGGUUAGUUGGUAAGGGCACGGCCUACCAAGGCAACGUGGCAUAGCCGGCCUGAAAGGAUGAUCGGCCACACUGGAACUGAGACACGGUCCAGACUCCUACGGGAGGCAGCAGUAGGGAAUCUUCGGCAAUGGGCGAAAGCCUGACGGAGCAACGCCGCGUGAGUGAUGAAGGUCUUCGGGUCGUAAAGCUCUGUUAUUAGGGAAGAACAUAUGUGUAAGUAACUGUGCCCAUCAUGACGGUACCUAAUGAGAAAGCCACGGCUAACUACGUG